CUCAAAGCGCCGCGAAACAGAGAGGGAAAAAACGAAUAUAGUUGAACAUUACGAGACAGGCAGCGCUGAGUACGGGAACACCGGGAGGAGCAAUUUCGUGCAAGGUGAGGGGCAACAAAGCCAUCUAAAUUUGGCGUCAAAAGACAAAGUGUCUCGGGACAAGUGGCCUGGCAAACACAGGCCUGUUGACUGAAGCAAAGGGACCUAAUGACCCUAAUGUCACUGCCCCACAGCAGCUACAAGGGAGAAGACAACAGAGUGAGGCUAUCUUGACUACCAUAAGUGGACGUGCGCUGAUAACAGAAGGGGUACCUGAGAGCUCUUUGCUUACCAGAGAGAUUAUCGGCCCACUGAGGCUCAAAGCUAGGGGAUUUGUCAACUUAACCCCUGUCCCCGCUCACUUUUUUCUCCCCCUCAGCCAUGUUUUACAAUGCUGGAUGAACCCCUGCACUGAACACAGAGCUCUUUACAGCAGAAUAAAACAUGGUUAAGUAUAACGCGGCUCGGGUCAAGGUUUCAGUCGUGGAGGAGAGGGGUUUUGGAGCUAAUGAAAUCUUGCACUCUGACUGCCAGGCAUGCUCAAUAAUGUAUUUGGGUUGAGACAUGUUUACAUUUACUCAAAUAAUGUGGUGUUCUGCACAAUUUCUUAAUUUUUACACUGUAAAAAAUUAAAUAUGCAGUUAAGGAGUUAUUUUUACAUGAUCUGAUCAUCUGAUUCUAAAAUGUGACUUUCAUUUGUGCAAUACAGUAAAGUCAGAUUUAUUCAGUAGAAAUAUUUUUGAUAUGAUAUUGAUCUUUCAGAUUCUGAAAAGAUAGAUAGAUAGAUAGAUAGAUAGACAGAUAGAUAGAUAGAAUGAAGUAGUAUGUUACUGAAUUAAUUAAUAAAGUAACUUAUUUAAAAAAUAAAAAAAAAAAAGAAUAUAAAAAUAAUGUGACAAUGGCAUGUGACAUCUAGCUGUAAAUUAUUUUUAUUGCUGUGGUUUAAAUUGUAUUUUUCUAUAUAAAUCAUUGUCCAAAAUGUGAUUGUUUUAUAAUUUAGUAAACAAAAGGUGUGGCACUUAUAUAUUUUUGAUAAAGAUCUGCAGGUAGUAAAGCUACCAGUAAGAGGGUAGAGCACUGUUCAACACAUUUUACCAUAUUUCAAUAUUUUAAAAUACUAAAUAAAUAUUAAAUAGUAAGAUAUUAAAUAUAUUAAUUAAGCAUAUUCAAAUAAAAAAUCAACAGAGAAUGCAUCAAUAAAUAAAUAAAUAAAUAAAAAUCUGCUGAUUA
Long non-coding RNA from Myxocyprinus asiaticus (Chinese sucker), 1269 nucleotides. RefSeq lists it as uncharacterized. NCBI's taxonomy places the organism in Eukaryota, Metazoa, Chordata, Actinopteri, Cypriniformes, Catostomidae. The record is from RefSeq and is a predicted model, not a curated record. The transcript has 2 exons.